UAGCAAUAUGUGGCAUACGGCUCAGUAACACGUAGUCACCAUGCCCAGGGGACGUGGAUAACCUCGGGAAACUGAGGAUAAACCGCGAUAGGUCAUCACUUCUGGAAUGGGUAAUGACUUAAAUCUACAUGGCCCCUGGAUUGGACUGCGGCCGAUCAGGCUGUUGGUGAGGUAAUGGCCCACCAAACCUGUAACCGGUACGGGCUCUGAGAGGAGGAGCCCGGAGAUGGGCACUGAGACAAGGGCCCAGGCCCUAUGGGGCGCAGCAGGCGCGAAACCUCUGCAAUAGGCGAAAGCUUGACAGGGUUACUCUGAGUGAUUUCCGUUAAGGAGAUCUUUUGGCACCUCUAAAAAUGGUGCAGAAUAAGGGGUGGGCAAGUCUGGUGUCAGCCGCCGCGGUAAUACCAGCACCCCGAGUGGUCGGGACGAUUAUUGGGCCUAAAGCAUCCGUAGCCGGUCUUGCAAGUCUUCCGUUAAAUCCAGCUGCUUAACAGAUGGGCUGCGGAGGAUACUACAAGGCUAGGAGGCGGGAGAGGCAAGCGGUACUCAGUGGGUAGGGGUAAAAUCCUCUGAUCCAUUGAAGACCACCAGUGGCGAAGGCGGCUUGCCAGAACGCGCUCGACGGUGAGGGAUGAAAGCUGGGGGAGCAAACCGGAUUAGAUACCCGGGUAGUCCCAGCUGUAAACGAUGCAGACUCGGUGAUGGGCCGGCUUCAUGCCGGCUCGGUGCCGCAGGGAAGCCGUUAAGUCUGCCGCCU
RNAcentral lists this ribosomal RNA (757 nucleotides) under uncultured archaeon. RNAcentral's name for it is "bacterial SSU rRNA". It matches the Rfam family "Archaeal small subunit ribosomal RNA", at positions 69 to 829 of the family's 1478-position model. The record is from RNAcentral.